This 269-nucleotide long non-coding RNA is filed under the name Sorghum bicolor (sorghum). Its description in RNAcentral is "long non-coding RNA (SBIC_LNC016902)". The record is from RNAcentral. Lineage: Eukaryota; Viridiplantae; Streptophyta; Magnoliopsida; Poales; Poaceae.
AUGGCCCAGGUGAGAAACAUUGUUGGAGCUCUAUUCAUAGUGACCCUCAUCCUAGGAGCCCCAUGUGUGCUAGCAGGAGAAUUGCUGACAAGGUCAGCAUGGUAGUUGCCAAGGUAGAUGACUGCAACAAGCAAUGUGAGGGUAAGGGGACGCCUGCCGACAUCGACCAUUGCAAGGAGAAGUGUAGCCUCACCGAGCACUUCAGUUAUGCGACCAUCGGUGUAGGUGCCUGCCGUCAGAACUGCGACAAGCUAAAGAACGACCAAUCC